RNAcentral lists this ribosomal RNA (459 nucleotides) under uncultured bacterium. Its description in RNAcentral is "partial 16S ribosomal RNA". It matches the Rfam family "Bacterial small subunit ribosomal RNA", at positions 338 to 795 of the family's 1533-position model. The record is from RNAcentral.
CCUACGGGGGGCAGCAGUGAGGAAUAUUGGUCAAUGGCCGGGAGGCUGAACCAGCCAAGUCGCGUGAGGGAAGACGGCCCUACGGGUUGUAAACCUCUUUUGUCAAGGGACAAAAUCAGGCUCGAGAGCCUGACCGAGGGUACUUGAAGAAAAAGCAUCGGCUAACUCCGUGCCAGCAGCCGCGGUAAUACGGAGGAUGCGAGCGUUAUCCGGAUUUAUUGGGUUUAAAGGGUGCGUAGGCGGACUGUUAAGUCAGCGGUAAAAGCCCGGGGCUCAACCCCGGCGAGCCGUUGAAACUGGCUGUCUUGAGAUGUCGAGAGGUAUGCGGAAUGCGCAGUGUAGCGGUGAAAUGCUUAGAUAUUGCGCAGAACUCCGAUUGCGAAGGCAGCAUACCGGCGGCGAUCUGACGCUGAGGCACGAAAGCGUGGGUAUCGAACAGGAUUAGAUACCCUAGUAGUC